RNAcentral lists this long non-coding RNA (3718 nucleotides) under Linum usitatissimum (flax). RNAcentral's name for it is "long non-coding RNA (LUSI_LNC002926)". Lineage: Eukaryota; Viridiplantae; Streptophyta; Magnoliopsida; Malpighiales; Linaceae. The record is from RNAcentral.
AACAUUUCCAGAAUACAUUCAUCCACCCCUAUUUUCAAGGCUAUACAUUAGGCUGGUUUUCAAAGAGUGGAGAAAGAAGGGGAAAUUUUGUGAAAUUUCAAAGAGAGAUAAUUGCUUAUUACCAUAAAAACACCAAAUCAGAAAUAUUAUAAAGUGAAAACAAUAAAAGAGAGACCUAAUUAUUUACAAAAUCACACUCAACCUCACUAAAAUCACUCCAGAAACCUCACCAAACCUCACAUUAACCACAACUCUCCAAACUUCACGGUUACUCCAACCUCGGCUCAACCGAACUCAUGUCUGUCCAAGACCAUCACCUCCUCAUCAAGCCCUUGGUCCGAGCAUCAUCGAAGCAAUCUCACAAAGAAAAAGAAGUCGAAGAAUAAAAGCCCAAACACUAAUCCUCACUUCCAAAGAUGAAAGGAACAUAAGCGGAAAGCCAUUAAAACACACACUAGCUAGCAUGGUUACAUAACAUAUCAUUGUCAUCAUUCUAAACAUGUUUUGAUUGGAACUUUAAAUGUUGGACUCAGGAUACAUUAGUAGUUGUUAAAACUACUACUAAACUAGGCCCUAAUCCUUUUAAUACUGGUUUGGUGUGUUGUGAUGUUUGUACUCAAAUAACUUCACAUUGGGAUCAGAACAUGUUUGCUAACUAGGAACAAUGAAUGCUAGUAUGGGUCUAAUAAUGAAUUAAGCUAGACAAGGUGAAGAGUUAAUUAUUCUUUGUUUUUUUGGGAAAGCAAACAAUUGUAUUAAAAAAUCAAGUCAAGUUUGCCUCCUAGAUUAGUCCACUCGCAAGUAUCUGGAUUAGACGAAAACAUAUGAGCCAAAAAUUGCGCAACACUAGUUGUUGUAUCUCUUGGAGUGAACAACCAAUCUCUAACAUCACAUUUAUUCCCCAGCUCAAGAAUGUUAGUACAAGGAAAUGAUGUUUAAUUAUUCAAACUCAAACAAAGGAUUAAAAGUGAUGAAAUGGGUUUUGGAGAUCUUUUAGAAGAUCUCGUUUAAGUGAUCAUGUUUAGUUGUUGUUUAGUAGAUAAAAUGAGAUCAGAGAACUCCAAAUCGAAUGUAAACAAUCAACAAGUUCUAAACACUUAAUGAACCCUAAUUCAUUGGACUCUAGAUAUCAAACCAAACGAGACUCAAACUAGCAACCUUACCAACAAAAUCACCAUCAAAAUCAGCUACCACUACUCAGAAACAAAACUCUGAAACCGACCCAAAAUUCAGCCUAAAUCAGCCACCGUUUCACACCCAAAAUCAUCAUGAAUCACUCACAAAAUCAGCCAUUACUAUCCCAACUAAACAGCCAAUCCAGCUAGAGCAAAGAUAUCGAGGCAAAGGUUGAGAGACCAAGUAAUACCUCUGUCGAUCGAGCCAUUCACCUAGCCGAAUCUUGGAGCCUUGUCCUUCUCACCCUCCGACCCUUUAGCUCUUGAACCUAGAAGCACGAACGAGGUUAGAUAAGUCUAGGUGGAAUGUGCAUGAUGAAUAAGUUAUAAACAUCUAUUACACUUUAAUAUAUAUUGCACUCCAAAUACCAAACCGAACCAGACUUGAAUCAUCACCUAAACUUAGAAUCCCAAAUACAAGCCAUAUAACUCAAGCCACGGUCAUAAAAGAAGUAGUAUUCCUAAGAUGAAUUCAGUUUGUGUGAAAAGGGACUAAUGACUAGCAAUCGUUAUAAAAUGAACUCAAAUAUCAUAGAGUAUCAGCCUUUUACCAAAUUACACAACGACGAACAUAACAUGCCGUUAACUUCCGUUAGUCUCAAAACAAUUUUUGUAACGUGACCCGCCGGCUGCUGAGGUGGCAUCCAACUAGAAGCCACAUCAUUUAAUUCCUUUGGUCAAGUGCUAAACAAUAGUCUUCUUCAAUCCAAUCGCAUUUCCAUUCUCCAACCCCAUCCCCCGUCGUCGGCGGCGGAAACUUCACCACCGCAAUAGCCACUUUACUCCAACUUUUUUCAUGUGAAAGAUACUCAGCGAAAUCACUUUUUGCGUUUGGGAAUUUGAGGCAGAGUUCGAGCAUAUUCAUCGUCAUCUUCUUCGUUCUGGGCUUAUUCUCCACAAUAAUCUCAUAUCUGAAUCUUUCUUCGGUUGUUUGAUGGGCGAUUUGUACAAGAGUCUUCUUCCAAUAUCUUAUCUGGUAAACCCAGAUCUAUACAAUAGAUGUCGUUUCUGCUGGAUGGUGAAAUUUCCUCUAGUAUAGUUUAUCAACUUGUUAAUUGUCUCUGUGAUUGUUUCUUCAUCAUUGUUGCUGCAACUACAAAACAGAAAUUGGGUUGUUCAUUGUUAUUUAAAAGCCUAAAAAAAUUCAGUCCAACUCCAGGCAGGCGGAUCAGAUUAGAACAGCUUCCUCCUCCGCCAAACUCACAUCUGGCUAAAUAUGACAUCGUCGAGCCAUUACGCAACUGCAGACGAUGAUUCAGUGAAGGAGACGAAGAUGAAGAAAAGGUAGAGCUCAAAGCCGGUUGGUUAAAUAUCUUUCACAGUGAAGGAGAUGAAAAAAGGACGACGAAUCGGUGAAAGGACGAUCAAUCAGUGAAGGAGAGGAAGAUGAAUACAACAAUGCCAUCUUUUUUAUUUUAGUUUUUGUUUACAUUUGUUUCUUUUUUGUUUUGCUUAAAUUAAUUAUAAUAAGGUAAAAUCCACCUAGGAUGCCAAAUUAGACUAUUUUGCAUAAUCAUCUAGCAUUGUGAUGCCACCUACGCAGUUUAAAGACGGAAAUAAUAGCUUGUUAGGUUUGUCACUAUUCUCACUAAAUUUUGCAUACAUUGUGUAUAAAUUGAUAAAAAGUGGAUACUUCGGAUCAUUUUUUCCUAAAAUUGACAAGAUAAAAUACGCAAUGGUUCAUUUUAAAUCUUGGUUAAUCAUACCUUCACAAAGACCAUUUCACAUAGAUUAGAAUUUGGAGUAGUAUCAAGAAUUAAACGUUUUUCUCAGUUUGGUGUCGGAAAAGUCGAAAGUGAAAGUCAACCUGAGUUUUUGUAGUCUUGUGCUGGGUUAAACCGUGGUCAGUCCUACUUCCUCUUGGAUCUUCCGAGCAAUGGACUGAAGCUAGCCCUAGUCUUUGCCUCCCCGUCCACAGUUAUGUCCCCUAGAUCAAAACAUACAAUAGACAAGAGGUCAAAAGUAAACAAAUCCGAAAUGGCUAGGUUUAGGAGAUACGAAAUCGAACUAGUAAAAUUAAAAACGAGUUGACCUUACCUUCAUCCAGUGUUGGGAUCGAAUCGUCGAACCCUACGACGAGCUCUGUCACUAAGAACGGAAGAGGGUGGGGUUAGAACCAGUCAGAGUUAGGGGUCGAGAUAUGAGCGAGAUGAGAAGGAAAUCGAGUUUACCUUUCGCCUUAUAGGAGUCGGAUCGCCUCGAGCAGGGGGAGUGAUCGCUGAGAGGGUUACGGUUGUUGACUGUCAUCGUUAUUGUCGCUGUGCCGAUCAGAGGAGUUGAAGGAUCGGAAAGGUAAGAUUUUAGUGUCUGUGUUCGAGAGAGAGGAUGAUGAUUCGAGUCCAAGGGGGUGGGCGGUCGUUAGGCAGCAAGAGAGAGUGAGGCGUCUAGGGUUUGAGGGAGAAGAGUGGAGUUCGAGAUAAGAGAGGAGGUUACGGGUGCGACAAUAGCAAGGAAGGAGACGAAGAAGAAAAAAAACCUAGUUCUUAAGGUCAUAUUCCAAAACUCCGGUCGUGUUGGAUCUCUCGCAACUGAUCCGGGUUGUA